GUAUUUUUAAACAAUUUAUUUUUUCUUAAAUGAGUUAUUUACACAUACGUCAUUAUUUUUCAAUCAGAUAUAUUAGUGUAUUGAGAAUAGCUGCUAAAAUGAGGGCUUCAGGUUUGAACUUCAUUAUAUCUUCCAUAUUUUUAUAGAUUUAGCUUUCAGAUCAGCCCUAAAGAAAACACAAAUCAGAAAUUCUUGACUAGAAGGUUUGACAAUUACUGAGUCACGUGAGACAAAAAAAACAACAUUUGAUUAAAACGGGUGCAAAAAAAAAAAAUACUCCACAAGUUCAUCUUUUACUGUCAAUGGUAACAUGAUUGCAGUUGAGUUUGUAAAUUUACAAAGUAAAAUCAUGUACUGGCAGCUUAUUUAUAUUUAGUUCUGCCCUUUGAACUAAACAGAAAUGUUCAAGGAAAUGAAUGUGUUUGUCUUCAACUUUUAAAACUUUUGUAAAAGUGAAAAUAUCAUUUUGUGUAUAGUGGAUGAAACAUUUUUUCAGAAAACAGAAUAAACACACAAUUAUAUCAUAAAGUGUGGUGAUGUUUUUGUUUUUUUUAACAAAAUGAAUUACAGCGAAAGUGUUGCCUGAUCUAAACACAAGAUAAAGAGUUGGCUACAUUGAAAUUUUCAACAUCUUAAAAUGGUUUAGUAACCAAAAAUAUUCCAAACCAUCUUAAGUACAAACUGAUUAAAAUUGUUUAAAUUAGCAUAUGCAAAAAUAUUUUGGAUGCUACACAAAGUAACUAGUCAAAAGAAUGAUUGGAUGUCUUAAUAAUGCCAUUCAUUGUGUAUGUUUCUGGAUUACUUUUUUUUUUACAAAGUAUUGGGAUGAUUUAUCAAAAUAUCACAUUUUCCUAGUCCAAGCCUUAACUAUGGUUUAAGUAGCUGUUAUUUCAAAACAACCCUGUGCUUGGCACUUGCUUCAAUUUAUAUUAAAAUCAAUGAUUAUGUUAAGCACAAUUAUCAAAGACAUACUACAAGCUAGUUGUUUUGAAAACUGCACGUAAUUUUAAAGGCAUUUAACUCCCUUUUACCCCUUUAGGUCAGAUUUAAAAAUAGUAACAUUUGGCUAAAAGCUAAUCACUUGGGCACAAUAGAGCCUAUUCUGUGUUAAGUUUAGUCAGACCUAUUUUUAAUUCUUUGAAAAUGAAAGUAAAAUAAUUGUGAUGCCAAAAAGUUUACAAAUAUGUUACAAAUCCAAUUUGGCGUACAAGUUACAUAAACAAUUAGUGUAUAAUGUACAUUUGUUAACAUUAUGAGUAUCAUAUAAUCACUUUACAAAUUAAAAAAAAAAUUGCCUAUAACCUGUUUAAACUUUUUUUUUAAAAACUUUUCCAAGAAAAUAAUAUUUAAAAAUAAAAGUCUGUACUCAUUCAUUUUUUCAAAGGACAGAAUUUUUUAAAAAUAUAUUUGAGUUUCUCUUUCUCUGGAAUCCAAUUCUACAAGAUCAACAAAUAAGCACUGAGAGUGGUGCACCUAGAAUAUUUAAUACCUAGUGGGGUAGCUCCUUUCUUUGAGACAACAGACAAUUCAGACUUCAGUUUUUCUCAAAAUUUGACUUAUGACACUCUUAUACAACAGAUUGUGCUGACAGAGCAUGGACUUGCUACAGGCAGAUUGAUAAAUCGAGAUCUCAGAUUCAAAAGGUUUAUAUACAUACUGGAGAGUACUUUGAAGUCACUCACCACCUGAUGCCCUGUGCGACCAACAACCCCCUCAGAUCGCUAGGUACACUUCUGGCUCAGUAGGAUGUUUUAUAUUUACUAGUUGGACAUUUCAAAGAAAUAGUUUAAUUCUUGUAUCAAGUUUCAGACAUACAUAUUUGUUAUUCUUUCUAUUGAAUGUAAUAAUAAAGUUGAAUAAAGACCAAAACAUUAUAACUAUUAAAUGUAAUAAUAAAGUUGAAUAAAGACCAAAACAUUAUAACU
This is a non-coding RNA of Biomphalaria pfeifferi, 1925 nucleotides long. Lineage: Eukaryota; Metazoa; Mollusca; Gastropoda; Planorbidae. The record is from the annotation of a GenBank genome assembly.